GGCAGCUUCCUGAACAACACUGACUGUUGGAUGGCAGGCUGGGGCAUGGGCCAGGGAGGCGCCCAAGAAACCCUGCAGGAGUUCAACACCACGGUGGUGGGUUGUAGCAACACGUCAUCCAGUGACUACAUCUGCACCGAAGCGCUGACUGUGAGAAUGGGUGACGCCGGAGGCCCCCUGAUGUGCAAGAGCGGCAACUCUUGGACCCAAGUGGCCGGGGCUUCCCAACGUCAUGGGCAACAGCAGCAUGGUG
Gadus chalcogrammus (walleye pollock) is the source of this 253-nucleotide long non-coding RNA. RefSeq lists it as uncharacterized. NCBI's taxonomy places the organism in Eukaryota, Metazoa, Chordata, Actinopteri, Gadiformes, Gadidae. The transcript is spliced from 3 exons. The record is from RefSeq and is a predicted model, not a curated record.